RNAcentral lists this long non-coding RNA (727 nucleotides) under Zostera marina. Its description in RNAcentral is "long non-coding RNA (ZMAR_LNC000880)". Lineage: Eukaryota; Viridiplantae; Streptophyta; Magnoliopsida; Alismatales; Zosteraceae. The record is from RNAcentral.
GAGGUGUUGAUAUUGUUUGAGUUUGAAGGAGAUGAUUUAAGCUACAUGUUAAUGUGCCCCUUGCAACCUGGUCUUCUGCCAGCUUUACCUAAAAGCAAAAAAUGCCAAAAAGUUAAAGGUCUGCAUUUCUUUUAAAUCCUCUCUAUUUAUUUUAUUAUUGCUAUUUAAAAGAUUAACCUUAAUCCUCAAGGUUUCGACAUCUGAUUUAAGAACUCUAUUGUCUGUGACAGCAUCCGUGAACUGUUGGUUUGCAUCUGUGAGAUGUUUGUAUAGAGAAUUAUUUUCACCUCUCAGUUGUUCCACUUGAGACUCAAGGUCUUGCAAAUGAGCUUGUUUUCGCCUUCUUGACCGUCUAGCUGAUUCUCGGUUAGAUACCAUCCUUCAAAGGUAAAAAAACCCAACUUAAAUUCAGCUGAUCAUGUCAUUUAGGUACUUCAAAUGAAUAGGUAAGCAAUUUGAUCCUUACCUUCGCACACGUUUAAGAAGAAUGACAUCUACUCCUUGCUCACAUGAACCAGCUUCUAUGUCAUAAGAUUCCUCAUCAGAAUCAGAACCACUUGAUCCUCCUCCUGGUGCCUGAGCAUCUCUACUAAGCUUAGGCUUCAUGGCCGAAGUUGGACUUCCAGCUGUGUAGUUUUCAGUGUGCAAUAAACCAACCAAUGAACCAAACAAACUAAAGAGUGAAAAGGGAUCCAAAAUCUACAAUUAAAUUUUAUGAUACUAUACC